Long non-coding RNA from Nerophis lumbriciformis (worm pipefish), 1218 nucleotides. RefSeq lists it as uncharacterized. Lineage: Eukaryota; Metazoa; Chordata; Actinopteri; Syngnathiformes; Syngnathidae. The record is from RefSeq and is a predicted model, not a curated record.
GUGUGAUGUUGUUGCGCUAUAUUAUGAACUAGACAGGGUAUUAUAUUUAUUUUGAAGUAACGCUUUUAUUUUGAAGAACCGGAUGUCCGGUGCGGGAAGUGUCUUUGCUGUUUUUCGAUUGCUUUACUUCCUCUUCCUUCGGACUUCUGAACGAGAAGGUAAUAGUUCUCCACUGCUCCGUGUUUCUUCAUAUUGUAAAUAGUCUUCCUAAACGUUCCUAGAUACUUGAAAAGUUAACUCAGUAUUGUUGUGGGUACAAGUGAUGUGUUGUUUUGAGUAAUUUUUAUGCACAAUUUCGGUUAUUUAGACGUAGAGCGUCGACUGUGUAAAUUGUUUGAUAGUACUUACGCGUGGUGUUUGCAUUACACAGGAGCAGAUAUCACUCCGCCAGAAAGUUGAGACCUGUGUGUGUGUUUUGUGUUUCCAACACAGGAGCAGAUAUCACUCCGCCAGAAAGUUGAGACCUGUGUGUGUGUUUUGUGUUUCCAACACAGGUUUCCCAAUAAAUACUGAACCGACGGCAUGGUGAAGUGUCUUUUAUUUUAAAAAAACACAACGCAGAAGAAGACUCACUACAAUAACACUAACCUGUUAAAAAAAAAAUUGAAAACAAUGGUCAGUCUGUUUGUCUUAAAUGAGCUAAAUGUUAAAAUUUUGGAAUUGUUUGAGAAAUGUGGCAUUCGGAAAAAGCACUGACAUGGUAUUAUUUAUACACCUUUGUCUGUUGGACCUUUGUUAAUUAGCUGUAUUUUAAAUUUACAUGAAUCUGCUUUUAUUCCAGCUAAUUAUUCAUCUUGGUGAGCGCACUGCCUGUACCACAACUGUAAUGAGGGCAAAAAAGGAACCAUAUAAAGCCUGGCUGGCUUCAACAUUAUUUGCGAUAAUAGUAACUGUGCUCCAUGAAACCUUUCCACUGAAAAAAAUGUGCAAAUGUGCUAUAAAACUAUUGUUUGGAAUGUUUCAGCUUGGCUACAACUGAGAUGACAAAUAUUGUAAAAUUUAAAUGACAUUUCAUGUAAUAGACUCUGGCACAAUGCAGCAAAUGCUUUCAGUUUUUUGCCACGCAAGCAGCGCGGCUCUGUGAAUGUCAGUGUCAAUUUGAAAAUUAAAGUGCUAUUAUUCUUGUCAUGUGCUUGUGUAGCUUUGGGUCUAGAGUUACCAACUCCCUUAAAAAUAAAUAAUGGACACCUUGUUGGCAGCACUGUCAAUCCAAUUGUC